RNAcentral lists this transfer RNA (65 nucleotides) under Tonicina zschaui. Its description in RNAcentral is "tRNA-Pro". The record is from RNAcentral. Lineage: Eukaryota; Metazoa; Mollusca; Polyplacophora; Chitonida; Ischnochitonidae.
CAGAUAAUAGUUUAUAUAAAAUAUUGACAUUGGAAGUCAAAGAGCAAAUGUUAUUUGUUAUCUGA